RNAcentral lists this long non-coding RNA (11361 nucleotides) under Coffea arabica (coffee). RNAcentral describes it as "long non-coding RNA (CARA_LNC000636)". Lineage: Eukaryota; Viridiplantae; Streptophyta; Magnoliopsida; Gentianales; Rubiaceae. The record is from RNAcentral.
UCACAAAACCGCGAUACCAUCCCACUCCAUCUUCAUUCCUAUAUCACAAAACACCUUCACACUCCACCCUCUUGCACACCCAACCCCCUUAACCGCGCCUAUUUCUUCACUUCAACCUCGCACAACCAGUUCCAUUUCCUCACACCGUGAGCAUUGACCAAGAGUGAGAGAGGGAGAGCUUCACCUCGUGAUCAUCGACGAGAGAGAGAGAGAGAGCUGCACCUUGCAGCCGAGAGGAAAGAAAGAAAAAUCGCGAGCUGAAUCUUCUCUGGUCUGUCCGUGAGUUUGAGGGAAGAAAGGAGAGAGCAAGUGGAAGUCGUGGGAGCUGCUGAUCGUCACCACCUUCAUCAGUCCCAGCCGCAACUAUUGCAACCAGAACCAGCACUUCAGGCCUUGCGCGCGUGCCGAGAGGAAGAAAAAAAUUCAGCUCUGCCGUGUGGGUGAGUUGCACUGUGAGGUAAUUUCUGGACCAUUUUAGGUUGAUCAAGAGGUAGAUUGAGCCAUCUAGGGGCAUGCAUGUAUUGUUUGUGCAAUCGGAUGAUGAAAUCAAAGCAUUAGAAAAAUCUGUUUUGGAAGUAAAUGGUUUUGCCGAAAAGCUGAAGUGGAGAUGCAGCUUUAAUUCUGUUUCCCUGAUGCAAUCUGAAUGUAUAUAUGUGUUUCCCUAACUUAAGACAAGAUGAUUAAACUGUGAAUGCAGCUCAUUUGCUCGGUUAAGCAAGAAAUAAAGAUGAACAAGAAAAUCUGUUGCAUGCAAGAUCAUCCGAGAAUAGUCGUAGGAAUUUCUGGAAUUGUGGAUGUUUAUAGCUGCUGACCGAACUUGCUCUGAACUAGAUAUGAUAAGUAACUUUAUUGGGUAGCCUCGCAUGUCAAUUUUGGGUGCCUAAUAUAAUGAUCCAGCCAGGGAAAAGUUUACAUCUUAUGACCAUUAGCUGCUGGCAUUUUUUUUUGUGAUAGCCGAGAGCUUGACUUGAAUAAUGCAGCCUUAAUUGGUUUAAUCCUGUUGUUCUGAGCUUAUAACCGUGAUUAGCUGGGUAAUAACAAGAUAAGUAAGCUUUUCAUGUAGUUAAUUAAUUGGGUUAAAACAGAAAAAUUAAUUGAAACAGAAAUCCGCUGCAUGCUUGAUCAUCCGAGGAUAGCUGGAAAAUUUCUGGAAUUUUGGAGAUAAUUAUAACUGUGAUUUGAACUCGAUUUCUGAACUGGAAAUGUUUAUUUUCUAGCUAAGUAAUUGCAUGAGGAAGUUGAGAGUUUAAAAGCAUGUUUUAACCAAGAAAAUAAAAUGAAAACAGAAAGUUUCUUCAUGCAUGUUCAACCGUGACUAGUUGGACAGAUUUCUGGAUUUUUCUCGAUGAUUUUAGUUGCUGAAUGAAUCUGGUUUUGAAGUGAAUUUUUUAAUAGCUAGCUAAGUGUUUACAUGCUGAAUUUGAGUACCUAACACCAUGUUUAAACCAAGGGAAAAUUUGAUCUAAAAAGUAUUUGGUUGCUGGAAAAUUUUGGAAGCCACAAGGGUUGAACCAGAAAUUUUAGUUUGUUUUUGGAAGUUUAAUUGGUUUCUGGAACGUUAUUUUAUUUUUCCCUUGGGAUAUAAUGGUUUAGAAAUACAGAGGAGUUGUAAGUUUUAAGUUGUGCAAGUUGUUUAGUAAUGAAAUAUUUGAUAAAUUGGAAGAUGGAACCAAAAAUGUUAGUGUAUACAUGCCGGAAUUUCUUUUGUGGUAGCCGAAGGGUGAGUUGGAAUCUUAGCUUGGUUUUUAAAUAUUUCUUUGAAUCAUGAUGGAUGGAAAUGCCUGGAAUAUGUUGUUUUGGAGUUUUAUAAGAAAUGUAUGGAUGGUUGAAUAAAAACAUUUUGGUGUUAAAAGAGAAAAAGGAGUUUUUCACAAGUGGAAAAUGAAAUUUCAGAUUUUCGGAUGUCCUUGACCAGUCUCAGUAAAAUGCAUGUAUCUUGGUGUAGGAAAAUCCGUUUAAGGCGCCGUCAGUGGCAUUUGAAACUAGAUUCAUGGGCCUUUGUUCUGUAGAAAUUUCAUAUUUUCCCUCCAUAUGUACUGCUGUCCGUGACUCCUCAAAGUAGACUGUCCUGCUUGAAUGUCCUGUUUCUUUAUGAAACUGAAUUUUUGACUUGGAUCGAACAUUUAGCUUAUUUGUGGUUUGAAUUCUUGAUUGAAUUGUGGUUGGAAGUGAUUGAUGUUGUCAAGGGCUAAUGAUUGAUGAAGCCCUUGGUCAUUUGAAUGGUUUUAUAAAUAUUAAAGAGUGAUGAACUUUGAUUGCUGGAAUUUCUUGAAGGCCUUACCUUCAUUUUUGAUUUAGUUAAGAUGUGAUAUAAGCUUGCCGAAACCAAGUGCUAAUGAUUGAUGAAGCCUUGGUCAUUCAUUUUAUUUUUAUCAGAAAUGCAUUUGUUGAAAUCUAGGGCUAAUGAUUGACGAAGCCCUAGUAAUUUGCUAUGUGAUUUUUGCCAUAUUUUGAUCCAUACUAUGAUUUCGAAACGGGAUCGGAGCUGUGGAAAUUGUAUCGACCUUGCGAACUCGAGUAACUGUGAUCAAAUUAAUCAAAAAUAUUUUCCAGCUAGUAUUAGAUUAUAAAACUCAAUAUCUAGUGUUUCGCCUAAAACUUUCCAAACCAAUAAUUUCCUUUAGCUCAAACUAGCCUUGAUAGCUAUAGUAAUUAAAUUCUAUAGCUUUUGAAAACCCUAAGUUUUAUAUAUAUGUUCCUAUCAAUCAUUAGCUAAUAUUAAACUUAGGGUAACAGUAGCUAAGUAUAUCUGGAACAUAGGACAAUACACUCGCGCACUCGUGAUUAUAUAUUUAACAUAUAUAUACACAGAGUUAUAAUCAUAUAACUCUAAUUUAAAGUAUACUAAUGGUAUACUUAGAUUGAUAUGAUUAUAUUAAUGGUAUACUUAGAUUAUAUUAAGUGUAUCAUUAAGAUUAUAUGGUAUACUUAAGUAUAGCUUAUGUAUACCAUUAAUCUAUAUGGUAUUAAUUUAAUACAAAUUAGAUUGUAAAUUAGAUUAUAAAUUAAUGAUAUGAUUAUAUUAAUGGUAUACUAUAUAGAUUAUAUUAUAAUAUACAUCAAUACGUAUUCUAAUAUGGUAUAUUAUAGAUAAUGGUAUAUUAAGUAUAAAUACUUAAAUCUAAUGACAUAAUUUAUAAUCUAAAUUAAUACCAUAAAUUAUAAUAUAGAUUAUAUUAAGUGUAUAAUCCAUUAGUAUAUAGCUUAUGUAUAUACUUAAGUAUAUCAAACAUAAAGUUAUUUAAUGAUAAAUACUACUGUAUCAAUUACAUAUACUAAUGGUAUUGUGUAAUACUUGAAAUACUAUAUGUUAGCUUAUAUGUGAUUUCUAAUAUUAGUAUAUGUAAUUGAAGUAACCGAAUAGCAAUACUUGUUCCUCACAUCAUAUGUAAGGGGUAUAUUACCCCACGUAUCCAAAAACUCAAGAAUUAUCAGAGCUAUAUUAAUACAAUGUAGGACUAAUAACUCCAACAGAUUUCCUUUAUUGAAGGCAUUAUCUACCUAAUAUUAGCUAGUCUAGGGCCAGAGGUUACCUCGGUUUGAGGCUUAGCUCACACGACAAUGAGCUGCAGAAAUUUUCCUCUCAGCUUGCUAUCGCUCUUGGGGUUUGGUUGUUGCAGCACCGCAGCUCACUAGCUCUCCCUCUCUUGCUCACACGCGAACUGGAGGUGGUGGUCCUGGUUGGAUGUUGCAGUUGCGGUGGAGUUGCUGGAAACGGGUGCAGCUGGUUGAGGUGAAGAAAAUGGUCACAGCUGGUGGAGGUGAAGGUGCAGAAAAGGAUUGAACUCACGCGGUGUCUCUUUCUUUCUUCCCUCAAGCUCGCAGACAGAACCGAAAAUGUGGCAGCUCGCAGUUUUCUUUCCUUGCUCUCAUAUGCAGAAUGCCGCUCUCUCUCCUUCCCCUCGGUCGAUGAUUACAAGGUGAGGAAUGUUGUUGUGGUUUGGGGCUGAGGUAAAAAUGGAGAGGAAAUGGUUUUCGGUGAGUUUGUGCAGAGAAGGAAAUGAGGUUUGGUGAAGGGUGGUGUCUCGGUAUCAAGAAAGGAAGUGGUUUGCGGUUUGCUUGUGCAGAGAAGGAAUUGGAAUUGCGGUUUGUGUUUGUGAAAUAGAGAGGAUGGUAUUUGUGGUGCCGCGAUUUAAGGAAAGGAUUGCGUAUAAGAAUUGGUUGCGUAUCGAAUUGGUAAUAGCUGCGGUGAUUGGAUUUGCGGUCUGAAGUCUUGUUUGGUUUGCAUGGAAAUGUAAGGGCAUUUUAGUCUUUUCACUUUGCUCCCUAACCUCAACUUAAUUUCUCAAUUCCAACUUAAUUCUAAAAAUUAUCCCCAAGUGUGAUUUGAACGCCUAAUUAUAACCUAAUAUACCUACACCAUUUCUAUCGAAUAAUUAUCGAUUAAACUUGGAUAUUAACGUUCCUAGUAAUUCUUAUAUUACUUAGCGAUUAAAUUAGUUAUUAGAAUUUCCAAUUAUUAUUUCUCACGAAAUAGAGUUAGUCUAACUCGAAAUGUGUGUAUAUGGAGCUCCUGGGGUCAUUAAAUUUCUCAUUGUUUUGCUAACUAUUAUCACAUAUAACAAUACACUAAUCAAAAUGCUAUCUUAUUGUUUAUGUAUAGUGCAUUAUUACAUAUAACUAUUGUUCAAAUUUUCUCUACAUAUUAACCAGUCGAUGUGUAUCACAUAUAAUCACAUAGUAGACUUUAAUGGCAUUUUCGAAAUGUGUAACUCGAAAAUGAUCAAGUCUACCAUAUACAUUAACUCGAAAUGUGUCGUUCCAUUUUCAUAUAAAAGAAAAUGGAAUUGAAGUACUCUGAGCUUAUAGCUGUGAUUAAUUAGCUAAUUACAAGAUGUUUAAGAGAUUGCAUGUGAUGAUUAAGCACUCGGAUGAUGCAAUCAAGGCAUGAGAAAAUCUGAUUCUGGGAGAAAAUGUUUCUGCCGAGAGUGGAUUAGAAAUUGCAGCUUUAUUUUUGUUCCCCUGUGACAAUCUGAGCUUAAUGCUGUGUUUAACCAAUCAUAAACAAGAAGAUUAAGCGAAUUAGGGGCAUGCAUGUAUUGUUUAUGCAGUCGGUUGAUGAAAUCAAAACUCUAGAAAAAUCUGUUUUGCAGACAAAUGAUGUUGCCGAGAACUUGUUCUGAUUAAUGCAGCUUAAUUCGGUUUAAUUAAUCACAGCUAUAAGCUCAGAGUACUUCAAUUCCAUUUUCUUUUAUAUGAAAAUGGAACGACACAUUUCGAGUUAAUGUAUAUGGUAGACUUGAUCAUUUUCGAGUUACACAUUUCGAAAAUGCCAUUAAAGUCUACUAUGUGAUUAUAUGUGAUACACAUCGACUGGUUAAUAUGUAGAGAAAAUUUGAACAAUAGUUAUAUGUAAUAAUGCACUAUACAUAAACAAUAAGAUAGCAUUUUGAUUAGUGUAUUGUUAUAUGUGAUAAUAGUUAGCAAAACAAUGAGAAAUUUAAUGACCCCAGGAGCUCCAUAUACACACAUUUCGAGUUAGACUAACUCUAUUUCGUGAGAAAUAAUAAUUGGAAAUUCUAAUAACUAAUUUAAUCGCUAAGUAAUAUAAGAAUUACUAGGAACGUUAAUAUCCAAGUUUAAUCGAUAAUUAUUCGAUAGAAAUGGUUUAAGUAUAUUAGGUUAUAAUUAGGCGUUCAAAUCACACUUGGGGAUAAUUUUUAGAAUUAAGUUGGAAUUGAGAAAUUAAGUUGAGGUUAGGGAGCAAAGUGAAAAGACUAAAAUGUCCUUACAUUUCCAUGCAAACCAAACAAUACUUCUGACCGCAAAUCCAAUCACCGCAGCUAUUACCAAUUCGAUACGCAACCAAUUCUUAUACGCAAUCCUUUCCUUAAACCGCGGCACCACAAUACCAUCCUCUCUAUUUCACAAACACAAACCGCAAUUCCAAUUCCUUCUCUGCACAAGCAAACCGCAAACCACUUCCUUUCUUGAUACCGAGACACCACCCUUCACCAAACCUCAUUUCCUUCUCUGCACAAACUCACCGAAAACCAUUUCCUCUCCAUUUUUACCUCAGCCCCAAACCACAACAACAUUCCUCACCUUGUAAUCAUCGACCGAGGGGAAGGAGAGAGAGCGGCAUUCUGCAUAUGAGAGCAAGGAAAGAAAACUGCGAGCUGCCACAUUUUCGGUUCUGUCUGCGAGCUUGAGGGAAGAAAGAAAGAGACACCGCGUGAGUUCAAUCCUUUUCUGCACCUUCACCUCCACCAGCUGUGACCAUUUUCUUCACCUCAACCAGCUGCACCCGUUUCCAGCAACUCCACCGCAACUGCAACAUCCAACCAGGACCACCUCCAGUUCGCGUGUGAGCAAGAGAGGGAGAGCUAGUGAGCUGCGGUGCUGCAACAACCAAACCCCAAGAGCGAUAGCAAGCUGAGAGGAAAAUUUCUGCAGCUCAUUGUCGUGUGAGCUAAGCCUCAAACCGAGGUAACCUCUGGCCCUAGACUAGCUAAUAUUAGGUAGAUGAUGCUGAUUAAAAGCUUGCAUGUAACGGUUAGCCACUUGGAUGAUGGGUUAAGGCACCAGAAAUUCUGAUUAUGAAAAGAAAAUGGAAUUGCCGUGAGCUUGAAUCAGAAAUGCAGACUUGAUCAUUGCUUAUAGCUAAUAUGAGCUAUAUUAGUGUUUUGCUAACGACUUUAAUGGUAUGAUUAGUAGACUUUUAAGAAUUGAGAAAUAAUGGAGCUAAUGCACUAUACAUAAACAAUGAGAUUGCAUUUUGAUUAGUGUAUUGUUAUAUGUGAUAAUAGUUAUAUGUGAUUGUAAAGUCUACUAUACACUAAUCAAUUAAAGUCUACAUAUUUGAUGCUGUGGGUUAUUAAUAGGAAAAUGAUAAUCUUAAUUCCUUUAAUCGUUAUUGAUGCUGUGGCGACUCCACUUCCCCCUAAGGCGAACCAAAGGGUUGGCGGGCCGUCCCAUGCAUGAAUCACCUACAUUUGAGAUUCCUACCCAACAUACAUAUCUAAUAUCCCCAACCAUAGACUUUUUGUUCCACACCUAACAAGCCAAUCCCCACAGUCCGAGAACCUUUUCCCGGUUUGAGCUCGAUAAGAGCUCUGAUACCAACUGUGACGCCCCCCACUUUUCCCCAGGGCGAACCCAAGGGUAUCCGCGGGACGCCUGCCCAGCUCUCGCCAGGACUCAAGACAAAUCAAAUCGAACUUAACGAUGCAUACCAAAUACUACGAGUCAAAAUAAAGAAAAGUCGCUUCCUUAACUAAAUAUUUAAAUCUUACAUCAUGUCCACAAAAGAUACAUCAAGUUCCAAAAUGCAACCAUUAAAAGUCGACUACACAUUUAAUACAUAUGUAAUGGAGAAAAUGCCAUUAAAGUCUACUAUACACAAAUCAAUUAUAUAAUAAUUGAUUCCAAUUAUUAUAUGGAGAUUGCAACGAGUUAGCUACACUUGAUCAUUGUUGAAGCUAUAUUAGUCAUUGGAGGUAUGAUUCUUUCUUUUAUUUGUCUAUCUAAGGUUCUCAGUGACCUAGUACCGUACACACUUUUUGCAAAACCCUAGAUUUAUAAGAUAGAAUCAAAGUUUGACUACUAAUUGGGUAAAUAGAAAUUGUGAUAUAUGGAUCGGAGGGUGUAAGUUAGUGAUUAAUUUGAAAGGCAUGACUCUUAAGGGGUAUGACUAUUAUCCAAAGUGUGAAUUUCGAGGACGAAAUUCUUUUAAGGAGGGGAGGAUGUGAGGACCCGAAAUUUUUUAUUUUUUAUUUUAUCGAAUAUUAGUAGUUUGUUUAAAUAUUUAUUUACUCAUUUUUCUUCAAAUUAUUUAUUUCGAUCAUUUAAAAUCUAUUUAUAUGGAACGACGCCUCUUUUAUAUUUUUAAAAGCGUUUUGUUGAAAAAAUUCACUUUUCGAAAACUCGUUUAGUUCGGAACAACGAGUGCACGUUUUUCGAGACUAUAUUUGAAUCGAGAGUGUAUUAAUAUUGGAGAAUUAAGAACGAUCAAUAAUAGAUUAAGAAAGGUUAAUUGAGGAAUUAAUACUCAAUUCACGUGAGUACUCGUAAAAUUAUUAUUUUUAAACCCCUAAUUUUGGCUCAAUUAAUUAUCUAUUUGGAUUUUUGCCCCGAAUAUUAUUUUCUAUCCUUAUUAGACCUAAAUAUAUGGUUUUAUAGUUUCGUUAUAUUUUUAAAGUGUCUCGUUUCAAAAAUUAUUUUCUUAGAAGCUUGUUUAGUGAAAAAGUGAAAACGUGUCUGAAAACUUUAGCCAAUUAGGAGUACAAUAAGCUCGGAAAUUUGGAGACAUGUACAAUGGUUCUAAAAUAGGUAAAUUUAGAUUUAAGUACUCAAGUGAUAGUUGGUGGUACGAUCGUUAUAAGAAUUUCUCGAAAGUUUCAUUUUAUUGCGCCUAAAUUGGGAAUACGUGUUUUCACGUUUGGACCAUUAUUUUGGGACAAUUAAGAAUGAAUAAUAUUUAUAUGAAUGUAAGUGCCCUAGAGGUUUAGUGCACUAGUGUAACAAACGUAAGAGAAAUCGAACAUGAAACGUGCGCGUAGGGCACUAGUUGUAAUUGAUUUGACGUAUUUAAAAUAUUAGACGUCAAGCGUCUUUUGUACGCAAAGGAAACCAGAACCGCAUCUCAUUUCUUCUAGCUGCAAUGGACGGAUAGCUUCAGCCGUAACAGCUUCACCAUUCCUUCUACAAAUUCACCAAAUCACUACCAAAGCCUCCAUAGAUUCAACCAAAACUUCACAUACACUUAACUCUACACUUGGACAACACCUUAAGCUGAAAAAGGGAGGAGCUUCACGGUUUUCUUCAGGCUUCAAAGGGACCGAAAUUUUCUGAUUUGAACAACCAUCAAAGUAGGUAAUGAUCAACUACCUUAAACUUGUCUUAUGGAGGUUGAUUUAUGCAUUUGAGCUGAAAUCUUCACUUUAGUAGCUUGUAUUGUUGGAAAAAAAGUGGCUCUAUGAAUUCCCACUCUUGGGUUGUUGCUGAUUUUGUGCUUGAUGAAGUUUAUGAUAUCGGAUCAGUGUUUAAGUUAGUGAUUUGUUGAAGGAAAACUGCUGGAAACUCACGUUGAGUGCAAUGGCCAAGUUUGACCAUUUUGCCCCUGGUUGUUCGGCCACUUUACUGCAGAUAUUUGAGGAUUUAAUGGCUUGAUUGUGUUGUUUACAUGUUGUAGAAGUUGUGUACAAAAUUUCGUUGAAAAAUAUUGAGUUUUGGUUGAUCAAAAGAAUUUAUUUUCCAAAGUUAGUAAUCUGGAAACGGUUGCCGUCGUAACCAGACAAGUGUUCGUGUUUCGUCCAUAACUCCGUACUCCGAUGUCGAAAUCGAGUACCGUUAGCGGCAUUUGAAACUAGACGUUCCCAUGUUUCCAACGGUGUAUAAUGUACAUUCUGGUUCCAUGUGUGUGAACCGCACCAUUCAUCUGAAUUCAGCUGUCCUGUUUCUCCGUUCUGCCGAAAUGAUUUGAUGAUGCUGCGACUUUAGGCUUAAUUUCGAACCAGUUGCAUGCUGAAACUUGAAACGAUUUCUUCUGUGAAAUUUUAUCCCUGUGAAUUUAUUUUCUAACACUAUCAACCAUUCCCAAUUCCGAGUUAAAUUAAGGGAGUUAUGAUCAAAAUACGGCGACUGCCUCAUUUUUUAAAAUCUUAGAUUUGGACAGAUUGCCUUAAGGAUUUUUCCAAACUUUGGUCGAUUGAUUAACCACCUUCCCGAAGGUAUUUUUCCAUGAAAUUUGAUAGGGAGAUACCUUUCAUAUAGGAGUAUUAUACUUAAAAAUUUGGUAUCAAUCCAAGUUCGUUUCGACACUUAACUAAAAGUCCAAAGUCGGAACCAAAUCUGGAAAUUUGUUAACAGUCUUGAAAUUUACCCAACUUUGAGCUACCAUAUCUUGGUGCUCGAAACUCCGAUUCUCGAUCCGCUUGUUCUGUCCUAAACCUUACUUGCACCUCUAAUUGAGCUACAAAUUUCAAGGGCUGGUUUGCAACGAGUGAAUUCUGCUGAAUUUUCAAAGUUAGCAAAAAACCAACCCCGACUCAAUCCUGGGUGAUUUGGAACAGCAACUUUAAGCUCAUUUUUGAACACCUUCCACUUAGAUUCAUGGAAAAGUGUCUUCUAAGAACUUUUAGUACUUUGGAAUAGGUUUCCAACGGUACCAAGUUUUCCAAUUUUUGACAUGUGGAAUCUGAGAUACGAUUUUUUUCAAAAUAUCGUAUCAAAACUGAAAUUUUCUGAAUUUCAAGGAAAUGGAGUUUUUCAAGUAUUCCUUAUUCUUUCGAUAAUACUUGAAUGUUUAUGCUUGAUUUCCAAGAUAACAAAACUCGAUUGCUCUUGUACAUUAAGAAACUCCACUUGAACCUCGAUUUACUAGUAAUUGAGGUUCAUUUUCAUGAAAUUUCCCCAGAUUGUACUAGUGCACAAUCUUCCUUGAUAAUUGGGAUGUGUGAAUGAUAAUUCACUAUUAAAUGCUCAGGCGCUCAAGAGGACCUUCCAGAGGAUCUCACUGGAGACGCCUAAACCAUCAUUUGAACUCGCUACUUGAAUCACUGUGAGUGUCAAGUGCAUGAACUUGUUGUUAAGUGGUUAUCUGUUUCUUAUCCGUUAUGUAAAUUUGAAAUUUUGAGACGAGGGUGUACUUUAUCGCACUCGUUCUCUUUCAAAUGAAAUUAUAUUCGAAUUUUGCUAUGUGAAUUCGUAUCCGACUUGUACAUGGUAAUGUGGAUGUGAUUUGUACUUGUGAUUCGUAUAUGUGAUCCGUAUUUGUGAUUCCUAUUUGGAAUCGUCGAUUUGUGCGUUGCUCAUCGACUUAUAUUCGUAUUCGUAUUCAUAUUCGGGGGACGCCCAAAACUCGUUGGCUAACUUUGCGAAUCGAGCCAGUAUGGGCUUGGUCGAUAAGCUUAGCAAACCAUGAGAUAUUCGUAGAGUAUGAUCUAUUGGAGAGAUCUUGCUCGGCAUUACUCGUGCAGUAUUGCCAUGAUAUACUUGAGUAUUAUCAAAAACUUUGAUGAGCGGGCCCGGUAAGGGGGUGUAACGGUGACGGGAUUCGAAGAAAAGUGGUGUAUCUACGGAUUUGAUACUUAUGUGGUUGACGGAGUGUCAACGUGAGAUGUGAUCAAGAUUUCGACUCGACUACGUGAAAUUUAGCUCCUGAUAGCUACAGUAUCCUUGAAUUAUUUCUGUUUAUUUUUCCUAUUCGAAAUGUGAAUUAUUCGAAUUUGAUAGCCUUACCUAUAAUGUAAUUGUUGUUGCUACUUGGAUUAUGUGUUUGCAUGUGUGUUUUCUUGGCCUCACUGAGUAUUGGCUCAUCCUAUUAGUUUGUUUUCCUUAACAGGUUGGAUUGGAAGAUUUUGGUAAAGCCGACUAGAUUAUACUUUUGAUUGGAAUCGGGGCUGUAAAUGUGUAGUCGAC